RNAcentral lists this ribosomal RNA (265 nucleotides) under uncultured bacterium. RNAcentral's name for it is "partial 16S ribosomal RNA". It matches the Rfam family "Bacterial small subunit ribosomal RNA", at positions 529 to 793 of the family's 1533-position model. The record is from RNAcentral.
AGGGUGCGAGCGUUAAUCGGAAUUACUGGGCGUAAAGCGCAUGCAGGUGGUUUGUUAAGUCAGAUGUGAAAGCCCGGGGCUCAACCUCGGAAUUGCAUUUGAAACUGGCAAACUAGAGUACUGUAGAGGGGGUAGGAAUUUCAGGUGUAGCGGUGAAAUGCGUAGAGAUCUGAAGGAAUACCGGUGGCGAAGGCGGCCCCCUGGACAGAUACUGACACUCAGAUGCGAAAGCGUGGGGAGCAAACAGGAUUAGAUACCCUGGUAG